GUGCUCACUUCGGCAGCACAUAUACUGAAAUUGGAAGCAUAGAGAAGAUUAGCACGGCCACUGAAAUUAAAAAAUAUAUAUAUUGUGUUGUACACCUUAAACAU
RNAcentral lists this small nuclear RNA (104 nucleotides) under Propithecus coquereli (Coquerel's sifaka). Lineage: Eukaryota; Metazoa; Chordata; Mammalia; Primates; Indriidae. The record is from RNAcentral.